AAAAAAAAAAAAUAGAAUGUCUCUCUAGGUGUGGCAUGUCUAUUUCUCUCUGUCUAACGUGUUUCCUUCUUACGUUUUCCAUAAACUUAUAUUGAUUAUGUAACUUUACAAAAUCAUAAUCGACAAUAACAGGAAAGAAAGGAUGCAGGAGGAAUGUAGGCCUGGAUUCCUUGUGAUACACGGAGUAGGGCUGUCCAGUAAAAUACAGGAUGCCCAGUUAAUUUGAAUUUUAAACAAUGAAUAAUCUUUUAGUAUAAGGAUGUCCUAAAUAUUGCACAGCACUGGUGCUAGACAGAGAGGGGGCAAUAUCCCAGAUCUUCUGGAACCUGUCCUUUCGGGGUCCAUUCCCUCUAUGACCCAGAAGUGAUCCAGCCACCAUCCCAAUACCUGAACAGUGUGAUGACCACCUUCCCAGAAGGGAACUGGCUCAGGAAGCCGUCCAGCAGGAUUGCCCACUGCACACCAAGCGCCAGCAUGAAGAGGUUGAAGGCCACACUGCUCCAGCUGUGUCUCCGGAAACUCGAGGUGAGGAAGCCCAAGCCAAUGGCCGCCAUCACGGUCAGAUCUUGGCCAACUUGAUAGGAUGCCACGAGCCCCUUUUGAUCCUCUAAGGAAGCGUCAUAGUGGGUAAAAAAAUAGAAGAGGAGAAUGAGAGCUGCUUCCAGUGUUAGGGCCCAGAGGGGCAGGCAGCGCCGGACAGACCGCGGGUACUUAGAG
RNAcentral lists this long non-coding RNA (717 nucleotides) under Homo sapiens (human). RNAcentral's name for it is "LNC_000283". Lineage: Eukaryota; Metazoa; Chordata; Mammalia; Primates; Hominidae. The record is from RNAcentral.